UGAGGAAUAUUGGGCAAUGCCCGCAAGGGUGACCCAGCAACGCCGCGUGGAGGAUGAAUGUCGUAAGAUUGUAAACUCCUGUUAGAGGGGAAGAAUAGUACCGGUUGGACCGGUAUAUGACUGUACCCUCAGAGAAAGCCCCGGCUAACUACGUGCCAGCAGCCGCGGUAAUACGUAGGGAGCGAGCGUUGUCCGGAAUUACUGGGCGUAAAGGGUGCGUAGGCGGCUUGGCAAGUCAGAUGUGAAAUCCCCGGGCUUAACUCGGGAGUUGCAUUUGAAACUGCUAGGCUUGAGUGCAGGAGAGGAAAGCGGAAUUCCUAGUGUAGCGGUGAAAUGCGUAGAUAUUAGGAGGAACACCAGUGGCGAAGGCGGCUUUCUGGACUGUAACUGACGCUGAGGCACGAAAGCGUGGGGAGCAAACA
This 422-nucleotide ribosomal RNA is filed under the name uncultured bacterium. RNAcentral describes it as "bacterial SSU rRNA". It matches the Rfam family "Bacterial small subunit ribosomal RNA", at positions 355 to 774 of the family's 1533-position model. The record is from RNAcentral.